Long non-coding RNA from Zingiber officinale, 1024 nucleotides. RefSeq lists it as uncharacterized. Lineage: Eukaryota; Viridiplantae; Streptophyta; Magnoliopsida; Zingiberales; Zingiberaceae. The transcript has 3 exons. The record is from RefSeq and is a predicted model, not a curated record.
GUUCGACGCUAAUGAUGACGAACGGAGGGCCCCUAGAGGGAUCCAAACCCUAGUGAGGUUGAUUAACCGGCAGGGAGGUGCGCCGGCGCGGUUUUCUUUUACGGAAGACGGCAAGGGCUCGUCGUCCGCCGCCUCCGGUGACUCAUCGACCGCCGGAGAAGCACGGGAAGCCUUGGUGGAGAUUCUGCGGCAGCGCGGAGGUUCCUAGAAGGACUCAGCUUAUAUCGCCUCUAAUUCGCGGAGAACUGGACGACCACAGUCUACGGGGUUCUCCGAACGGGGAGAUAGAUGAAGAGGGCGUCGAUCUGAAUACUUCUAGUUUUAGCAAGAAGGUGCAAUUUUUCAUCUGCUUUGCUCAUUGCUAGAUAUCUGUCUAAGGAGAAGCUUCCUGAUCUAAUCGAUAAGGUUAGGGUUCCUAAGUCUGAUAAAUUAACGAUGAGGACUUCAGACUACAAUCGAGCUUCACAGAAGAGGGAUGCCAAACCAUUUUGGAAAGGUCUGCUCCAACGAGAGUACAUGGAUGUUGAAAAACUUUUUGUGGUGCCCUCAGUUCCUUCAAAAUAUGCUUCAUAGGAAAGAUCUCCAUUGCCGUUGAUUUAUUACAUGGUUUGUCUGUUCCAGCAAUUCCCUGUGAAAUGUUCAUUGUUUGUCUGCUAUUGACUAAAAGCCGGGCCUGCAAAUCGAAAUGUGACCCUACUGCACUGGCUGCCGGAGCAAAGAUGGAAAUUUUCACAUGUAUCCUGCGCUUGCAAGAAUAAUCAAGAAAAAAAAGGGAGAGAAUGGAAUCGAUGAUCCAGUUAUUGUCCAUCUAUCACUUUGACUGAGGUUAUACCACAGUUUUCUAAGAGGAACGAAGUGGUCUCGAAUACUUCACCAUUUUGAACCACAUGAAGAACGCUGCUUGACCAGAUGAAAAUGGCUAAUAAUCAUCAGUUUCAAUGCAGAAUUUGUUGAUAUAUUUAAUAAGAUUCCCAGACAAGUUGGUGAUGUUACACAUGAUAUCAUGAGAUCCAGUUAUGAUUAA